Molecule: ribosomal RNA, 465 nt
Filed under: uncultured bacterium
Lineage: Bacteria
Description: partial 16S ribosomal RNA
Rfam family: Bacterial small subunit ribosomal RNA
Source: RNAcentral
CCUACGGGUGGCAGCAGUGGGGAAUAUUGCGCAAUGGGCGAAAGCCUGACGCAGCGACGCCGCGUGAGGGAUGAAGGUCUUCUGAUCGUAAACCUCUGUCAGCAGGGAAGAACGGUCACUGUGCUAAUCAGCAGUGCAUUUACGGUACCUGCAAAGGAAGCACCGGCUAACUCCGUGCCAGCAGCCGCGGUAAUACGGAGGGGGCGAGCGUUAAUCGGAAUUACUGGGCGUAAAGCGCUCGUAGGCGGUAUGUCAAGUCAAGGGUGAAAUCCCCGAGCUCAACGUGGGAACUGCCCUUGAAACUGGCAAACUGGAGUGUGUGAGAGGAUAGUGGAAUUCCAGGUGUAGGAGUGAAAUCCGUAGAUAUCUGGAGGAACAUCAGUGGCGAAGGCGACUAUCUGGCACAUAACUGACGCUGAGGAGCGAAAGCGUGGGUAGCAAACAGGAUUAGAUACCCGAGUAGUC